Molecule: non-coding RNA, 24 nt
Filed under: Cricetulus griseus (Chinese hamster)
Lineage: Eukaryota; Metazoa; Chordata; Mammalia; Rodentia; Cricetidae
Source: RNAcentral
GUUUAAUAAGAAUUUCAGCUUUGG